AACGAACGCUGGCGGCAUGCCUAACACAUGCAAGUCGAACGAGACCUUCGGGUCUAGUGGCGCACGGGUGCGUAACGCGUGGGAACCUGCCCUUAGGUUCGGAAUAACUCCCCGAAAGGGGUGCUAAUACCGGAUAAUGUCUUCGGACCAAAGAUUUAUCGCCUUUGGAUGGGCCCGCGUUGGAUUAGCUAGUUAGUAGGGUAAAAGCCUACCAAGGCGACGAUCCAUAGCUGGUCUGAGAGGAUGAUCAGCCACACUGGGACUGAGACACGGCCCAGACUCCUACGGGAGGCAGCAGUGGGGAAUAUUGGACAAUGGGCGAAAGCCUGAUCCAGCAAUGCCGCGUGAGUGAUGAAGGCCUUAGGGUUGUAAAGCUCUUUUACCCGGGAUGAUAUUGACAGUACCGGGAGAAUAAGCUCCGGCUAACUCCGUG
This 433-nucleotide ribosomal RNA is filed under the name uncultured bacterium. RNAcentral's name for it is "partial 16S ribosomal RNA". It matches the Rfam family "Bacterial small subunit ribosomal RNA", at positions 29 to 507 of the family's 1533-position model. The record is from RNAcentral.